RNAcentral lists this ribosomal RNA (253 nucleotides) under uncultured bacterium. RNAcentral describes it as "partial 16S ribosomal RNA". It matches the Rfam family "Bacterial small subunit ribosomal RNA", at positions 524 to 776 of the family's 1533-position model. The record is from RNAcentral.
UACAGGGGGUGCAAACGUUGCUCGGAAUUAUUGGGCGUAAAGCGCGCGUAGGCGGUGACUCAAGUCGGAUGUGAAAGCCCUUGGCUUAACCGAGGAAGUGCAUCCGAAACUGAGUCGCUAGAGUACGAUAGAGGGUCGCGGAAUUCCCGGUGUAGAGGUGAAAUUCGUAGAUAUUCGGAGGAACACCAGUGGCGAAGGCGGCUCACUGGCUCGGUACUGACGCUGAGGUGCGAAAGCGUGGGGAGCAAACAGG